AGAGAAAGAAAGAUUAAUUAAAACAUAAGAAACUUCAGAGUUAUAGAAUCAAUCAAUGGAAAAACUGGUUAAGACGGCAUUAUCAAUACGAUUUAUCUCAGAUUAGAUGGUCUAGAUUAAUGCCACAAAAAUGGCGAAAUAGGGUUAAUCAAAGUUGUAUGGCUCAAAAUCGAAAUUUAAACAAAUGGAAUUCAUACGAAAAAGACCAAUUAAUUCAUUACAAAAAAGAAAAUGAUUCUGAACUCUAUUCAUUAGCAAACUAAAAAGAUAAUUUUAAAAAAUGUUAUAGAUAUGAUCUUUUAGCAUAUAAAUCGAUUAAUUAUGAAAAAAUCUAAAAUCUAAUAAAAAAAUAAGUAAUAAAUUAAGGUUCUACUUCAACACGGAACAAAGGGGACAAUAUACAGGAUGGGUAGAAAGGGAGGAACUCAGCACCAGUCAUAGAAAAUUGAGCUUUGGUGUAUUUUAUAGUUGAAUUUUGGUUCAGAUCAAAGGGUACUUUGGUGGGUUUGAGGGAAUUGAAGAAUUGGUUGUUUUUUGUGAGGAAGAACUCAGCAACAAAUCAUCAAAGAUUGUACUUUUGGUGUUUUUUUGAGGUUGACUUUUGAUUCAGAUCAAAGAGAACAUUUUUUGAAUUUUUGGGGAAUUGGAAAGUUGUUGGUUGUGUUUUCGUGGGGAAGAAUUCAUCAACAGUCAUGUUCUAUGGUGCGGUGGUGUGGGAUCCGUGGCUAAUUGUUGCCCAAAUUGUGUGUCUUCAAUGCCUAUACUAUUUGAUACUAGGGAUAUUCUUGGCAAUUCUUGUUGGGACUCGUGUUUCUCGAAUGAGUCUUGUCUAUUUCUUUGAUUACGCCGCUGUUACUGCUUCAACUGUAACUGGAUGGUGCGUCAUUGCUUCCUUUCUUCUCAGUUCACUUGCAGGAGCUGGCAUUUUACUUUAUUUGAUUGAGAGGGCAAAGAAGUGCCUUGAUUUUUCUGCAACACUCUACAUCGUCCAUCUUUUUAUAUGCAUUGUCUAUGGUGGUUGGCCUUCCUCAAUAACAUGGUGGAUUGUGAAUGUUACUGGGCUUGCGGUGAUGGCAUUGUUAGGUGAAUAUUUGUGCAUAAAACGUGAAUUGCGAGAAAUUCCCAUUACAAGAUACCGAUCAAUGGUUUGAUCAAGUAGAUGUUCAGCAGCAAACAACAAAUUCUGUUUAGUUGUACAUUGAUAGCUUCUUUGGUUCAUAUACCAUUUGAGAACGGUUGAAGCUUCUAUAUGUGAUUUAUUUCUCAUGCCUGUGGCAAUGAUAUAUCGAAGACUACUGGGAUGUCGCCAAAUGCACAAAGCAAGACAAGAUAAUCAGCUGAGCUAUUAGGUGAUUCCUGUUCAAUAUAAGGAUACUUACAAGGAAGUUAAGCAACUUUAAUGGGAUGUUCAUUGUUGCCAAGCUACCUGUAGAUUUUAAGCACUCGGGAUUCAACAUUUUUUUAAUAUCAAAUUGCAAGGUUAAAUGCAAAUGGUUGAAGAAUUGUUUAGAGUUAUAAAUAUAUGUGAAUAAUCUUGGAGCUGCAUGCAUAUUUGAUAGUAAACCAGAUCCUUUGCCAAAACCCCUUCCCUCUGCAGUGACAACUAAACCUUCUACUUGGCCUUGUAGUUUGGGUGAACAGGAGAAACUUCAUUACUGAACAUAGUAAAGGCAAGGUUCUAAAUGGUAACUUUAUGAAGUUCUUUUUUUUUAAUCACCGAAAAGUUACCAAGGUCAUUGGCACACAGUGCAAAAUUUGACAGAUAAUGGGUUCACUUCUCUACCCGUCUCCAUGUAAAUACUAGGCUUUAUCUGUAAUAUGAUUUGAACCUGUGAUGUGCAUUUAAUCCACGUAUCAUGCACCUGUGAUGUGCGUUUAAUCCA
This is an RNA transcript of Nicotiana attenuata, 1883 nucleotides long. It is a transcript of the gene named protein SYS1 homolog, with no coding region annotated. The transcript has 4 exons. Lineage: Eukaryota; Viridiplantae; Streptophyta; Magnoliopsida; Solanales; Solanaceae. The record is from RefSeq and is a predicted model, not a curated record.